This 253-nucleotide ribosomal RNA is filed under the name uncultured bacterium. Its description in RNAcentral is "partial 16S ribosomal RNA". It matches the Rfam family "Bacterial small subunit ribosomal RNA", at positions 524 to 776 of the family's 1533-position model. The record is from RNAcentral.
GACGGAGGGUGCUAGCGUUGUUCGGAAUGACUGGGCGUAAAGGGCGCGUAGGCGGCUCGUGAAGUCGGAUGUGAAAUCCCCGGGCUCAACCUGGGAAUUGCAUCCGAUACUGGCGAGCUGGAGUGCGAUAGAGGGGGGUAGAAUUCCUGGUGUAGCGGUGAAAUGCGUAGAUAUCAGGAGGAAUACCGGUGGCGAAGGCGGCCCCCUGGAUCGACACUGACGCUGAGGUGCGAAAGCGUGGGUAGCAAACAGG